Danio rerio (zebrafish) is the source of this 1202-nucleotide non-coding RNA. The record is from RefSeq and is a predicted model, not a curated record. Lineage: Eukaryota; Metazoa; Chordata; Actinopteri; Cypriniformes; Danionidae.
AGUUAAUAGUAAAUAAGAUGUAUUACAGCUGUGUAUUGAAACUUUAUAACAGAUUUCUGAAGGCUCGUUUGUAAAGGCAGAUUUAUGAUGCUUAUAAAUAAAAAACUAAACAUUGUGAUUAUUUUAUUAUGCAGUAGAGCAAGACAUUUAAAUGUCGCAGCAAUGAAUUUGUCCUUUUUCUUUUCCCGUAUUUCCAGUUGUAGUUGAGUUUGCACGUGCUGUGAGCGGUAAUGUUGCCAAAUCCGUAGUUUUCCCUUGGAAUUCCAACAUACGAGCCACAAAGACGUUAAAUCACUAGUUGCUCGCAUUUUGUUAAACGGAUCUGGCAACCCGGUUAGUAAACACACGAGCUGUCAUUUAUGACGCUCAUUACGUGCAAACGCUGGUUUGCCGCGCAAAAAAUCUAAGAAAUCAAAAGAAAACAAAAUGGCGGCACCUAAAGUUGUUUGCUAACCCCAAAUAUGAAUACCUACUGUGUGAUUAGCAGUCUAUGGCUAGCUAACAGCAUUAAACAAUGGACAAACACAAACGUAGAGUAUUAAAAAUUAAAAACUACCCAAAACAGACAGUUUUUAUGUGUGUCUGUGUCAUCUAGUAGGAAUGAACUGAUGUUAAAGCACCAUCUCAGAGAACAGACUGUCAGGACUAAACCCCAUGAACAACGUCACUGGAUUUGCUGGGAAAGAGGCCUUAAAGACAAAACAACAGAAAUGAAUGAGCAAAACAGACUACAUGUACUAAACACCAUGGACACCGUGACUGAAUUUGCUGAAAAAGGCCCUGAAGAAGCAGAAGAAUACAGCUAAAUGAGAAUGAACUGAUGUCAAAGAUGAGCAAAACAAACUGCAUGUACUAAACACCAUGGACACCGUGACUGAAUAUGCUGAAAAAGGCCCUGAAGAAGAAGAACAAUACACCUAAAUGAGUGAGUAGCUUUGUGUGUUUACCCUUUGGGCCGCUGUGCCUGUACUGUUUAUGUUUUAAUGCAGUUGGUUUAUUACUGACGUUGGCUUAUUGAGGUAAAUUUGGUUGCAUAUUCGUCCAGUGACAACUUGUGACGCAACAUAUAUUGCUUACUGUGGUACUUUGAAUAUUCAGACUGAAAUUACGUAUGACUUCAAAACAACAUUAGCACUCUCCAGUGCUGUACCUUGAUUCUGCUAACAGGAUUUAUAGAGGUAAAGUUGGUUUUAUAUUCACUU